Molecule: unclassified non-coding RNA, 173 nt
Filed under: fungal sp.
Lineage: Eukaryota; Fungi
Description: partial internal transcribed spacer region
Rfam family: Eukaryotic small subunit ribosomal RNA (bases 1-46)
Source: RNAcentral
AAGUCGUAACAAGGUUUCCGUAGGUGAACCUGCGGAAGGAUCAUUAUUGUAGCACUAUUAUUCAUUUGUGAACUAGACAUAAUAAUUUGUUGGGUAUCGUCCAACAUGAGAUGACUAUGAUUAUUAGAUUAAACAAAAGAGAAAAACUUUUGGCAACGGAUCUCUAGGUUCUC